GUCAAAAGAGCUCCAGAAACACUUGUAGUUCAGGAAAACAGCUUUAUUUGAUCGACGCGGUUUGGCUUGUGGCCUGGAUGACCCUGAUGAAGCUGUUUUCGUGAACACAAGUGUUGCUGGAGCUCUUUGAC
Non-coding RNA from Xyrichtys novacula (pearly razorfish), 131 nucleotides. The record is from the annotation of a GenBank genome assembly. Lineage: Eukaryota; Metazoa; Chordata; Actinopteri; Labriformes; Labridae.